This 253-nucleotide ribosomal RNA is filed under the name uncultured bacterium. Its description in RNAcentral is "partial 16S ribosomal RNA". It matches the Rfam family "Bacterial small subunit ribosomal RNA", at positions 524 to 776 of the family's 1533-position model. The record is from RNAcentral.
UACGAGGGGGGCAAAUGUUGUUCGGAAUCACUGGGCGUAAAGGGAGCGUAGGCGGGUGUUUAAGUUAGGUGUUUAAUCCUGGGGCCCAACCCCAGUCGUGCACCUAAAACUGGACAUCUUGAAUAGUGGAGAGGUCAGUGGAAUUGGGGGUGUAGCGGUGGAAUGCGUAGAGAUCCCCAAGAACACCAGUUGCGAAGGCGGCUGACUGGACACAUAUUGACGCUGAGGCUCGAAAGCAUGGGGAGCAAACAGG